AUUGAACGCUGGCGGCAGGCCUAACACAUGCAAGUCGAGCGAGAGGCGGACGGGUGAGUAAUGUAUGGGGACUGCCCGAUAGAGGGGGGUAACAACUGGAAACGGUAGCUACUACCGCAUACUAUCGGAUAACCCAUAUGGGAUUAGCUAGUGGGUGAGGUAAGGGCUCACCUAGGCGACGAUCCCUAGCUGGUCUGAGAGGAUGAUCAGCCAAACGGGGACUGAGACACGGCCCAGACUCCUACGGAGGAAGCAGUGGGGAAUAUUGGAAAAUGGGGGCAAGCCUGAUGCAGCCAGGCCGCGUGUAUGAAGAAGGCCUUAGGGUGGUAAAGUACUUUCAGUCGGGAGGCGUUACCGACAGAAGAAGCACCGGCUAACUCCGUGCCAGCAGCCGCGGUAAUUC
Molecule: ribosomal RNA, 403 nt
Filed under: uncultured bacterium
Lineage: Bacteria
Description: partial 16S ribosomal RNA
Rfam family: Bacterial small subunit ribosomal RNA
Source: RNAcentral